Molecule: ribosomal RNA, 444 nt
Filed under: uncultured bacterium
Lineage: Bacteria
Description: bacterial SSU rRNA
Rfam family: Bacterial small subunit ribosomal RNA
Source: RNAcentral
CCAGACUCCUACGGGAGGCAGCAGUGGGGAAUAUUGCACAAUGGGGGGAACCCUGAUGCAGCGACGCCGCGUGAGUGAAGAAGUAUUUCGGUAUGUAAAGCUCUAUCAGCAGGGAAGAAAAUGACGGUACCUGACUAAGAAGCCCCGGCUAACUACGUGCCAGCAGCCGCGGUAAUACGUAGGGGGCAAGCGUUAUCCGGAUUUACUGGGUGUAAAGGGAGCGUAGACGGCUAUGCAAGUCUGAAGUGAAAGGCCGGGGCCCAACCCCCGGACUGCAUUGGAAACUGUAUAGCUAGAGUGCAGGAGAGGUAAGUGGAAUUCCUAGUGUAGCGGUGAAAUGCGUAGAUAUUAGGAGGAACACCAGUGGCGAAGGCGGCUUACUGGACUGUAACUGACGUUGAGGCUCGAAAGCGUGGGGAGCAAACAGGAUUAGAUACCCGGGUA